This 468-nucleotide ribosomal RNA is filed under the name uncultured bacterium. RNAcentral describes it as "bacterial SSU rRNA". It matches the Rfam family "Bacterial small subunit ribosomal RNA", at positions 330 to 793 of the family's 1533-position model. The record is from RNAcentral.
UCCAGACUCCUACGGGAGGCAGCAGUGAGGAAUAUUGGUCAAUGGACGAGAGUCUGAACCAGCCAAGUAGCGUGAAGGAUGACUGCCCUAUGGGUUGUAAACUUCUUUUAUAAAGGAAUAAAACGAGGCACGUGUGCCUUUUUGCAUGUACUUUAUGAAUAAGGAUCGGCUAACUCCGUGCCAGCAGCCGCGGUCAUACGUAGGAUCCGAGCAUUAUCCGGAGUGACUGGGUGUAAAGAGUUGCGUAGGUGGCAUAAUAAGUAGCUAGUGAAAUCUGGUGGCUCAACCAUUCAGACUAUUAGCUAAACUGUUAAGCUCGAGACCGUUAGGGGUAACUGGAAUUUCUAGUGUAGGAGUGAAAUCCGUAGAUAUUAGAAGGAACACCAAUAGCGUAGGCAGGUUGCUGGGACGGUUCUGACACUAAGGCACGAAAGCGUAGGGAGCAAACGGGAUUAGAUACCCCCGUAC